GCACAAAUUUGCUUGCUGGCAACCAUGUGAGAUGGGACUUUCUCCUCCUUGACUUUCGCCAUGAUUGUGAGGCCUUCCCAGCCAUGUGGAACUCUUCUUUCGUGGCAAUUUUCCCCCAGGAGGGAUUUCCCUGCAGUGGACCUCCUCCCCAGUGGUACCUUCAGCCAUCAGAACACCUCGCUUUAGAUCUGUGGGUCCCAAAUUUCAUCAAAUCCAAUGACCAUUUCUAUGAUCACUCAUUCUGGGGGCAGCCCUCUGGCAUGUAAUGAGCAGUCCUAUGGAGAGGCCCAUGUGACAGUAGCCAUGCGAGUGACACUGGAAGUGAAACCUGCAGCUCCAGUCAAGCCUUUAGAAGACUGCAGCCCUGGCUGACAGCUUGACAGCAAACUCAUGAGAGACUCUCAGCUUGAACAACUCAGCUAAACUGUUCCUGGGUUCCUGGUCCUCAAAAACUGUUAUAAAAGACAUUGUGGCUACCAUCUCUCAUCACUCACUCAAAGGGAAGCCAACCACCAUGCAAUGAGAAUCUCAGGUAAUGAGGACCUGAGACCUGUUGUCAAUCACGUGAAUAAGCUUGGGAGGAGAUUCUCCAGCCCCAGUCAAGCCUCAGAAGACUUCAGCCCUAGGUGACAGCUUGAUGAUAAUCUCGGGAGGCAGAACCACCCAACUAAGCCACUCCUGGAUUCCUGACCCUGACCCUGACCCUAGAAACAGUGUGAGCUGGAAUUCUGUGAAGCACAUGACCUCAAGUCUUUGGAUAAAUGGAAACGCAGCUUAUGCCGGAAAGAUGGAAGGCUGGCUGUACUAAUAUCAGAAAUGGAAGAGGAGAGACAUCACUAGAGAUCCCAUGGAUAUUGAAAGGAUAAUAAAGGAGUAUUAUGAGCAUUGUUAUAUUUUAUGUCUCCUAUAAGCUGUAAAUUCCUACAUAGCAAGAAUUCUGUCUUACUCAUCCUUUAACAACUACUGUGUACCUUAUAAUGUUUCAUAAAAUAUUAUGAUUUGGUUUUAUUAUUCACAAAAGAAUGCUAUAAGAGGUGAAAAAUGGAGAGGCUAGAAAGCAUAAAAACAAGUUACAUCAGGUGGUAGAGCCUGGUUUAAGGGUCAAAGAUAAAAGAAGGGAAGGUUAAGGGCAGGGCUUUAGAGGGAGAGAGGAUAAACACAGUUUGAUUAAAUGGCUGAUUCAGCCGGGUGUGGCGGCUCAUGCGUAUAAUCCCAACACUUUGAAAGGCUGAGGCAGGAGGAUUGCUUGAGCCUAGGAGUUCAAGACCAGCCUGGGCAACAUGGAGAAAUCCUAUCUCUACCAAAAUACAAAUACAAAAACAAAAAUUAGCCAGGUGUGGUUAUAUACACCUGUAGUCCCAGCUGCUUGGGAGGCAGAGGUGGGAGGAUUGGUUAGGUCUAGGAAGUUGAGGCUGCAGUGACCUAUGAUUGCUCCACUGCACUCUAGCCUUGGUGACACAGAGAGAUCCUGUCUCAAAACAAAAACAAACAACAACAACAAAAAACAUAUAUAUAUAUAUAUGAGGUUUAUCCACAGUAAAGUUCAGUCUAGGGUUAAUAAAAGAUUCUAGGGUUCACUAAGACAAAGAGUAGUCGCAGUAGCAGAGCCUUGGGUGAAGCUAAGGUCCCCAGGAGAUCUGGGAUGUCUGUGAGGAACAGUGAGGCUUAGUCAUUCAGACAAGCCAGCAGAAGUGAAGUUUAGAGAAUGUGGAUGGGCCUCAGGCUCUAGACAUCAAAACAAACAGAUAGAAAAGGCAGAGUGUAGAAUCCAGACAGUGAGGCUCACAACAAGGUAUGCAAUUCUGCAUAAGCAGAUUUGAGGGGACACCAACUAUGGACUGAUGUAGAUAAAUAUUUCUGGUAAUUCCAGUUAGUGAUUCACUCUGAACUCACAUAGGAUAGUAUCUCUUCAAAGGCACUUGUGUUGUAAUUAAAUGCACACAUAAGACAUAAUGCUUAUUGAGCCCUUAGCAUGUACCACCCACUCUUAUGCAUACUAUAUGUUUAAACCAUUUAAACUCACACCAACCCCCUGGGGGUAGGUAGUAUUAUUAUCCCUGUUACAGAUAAGGAAAGUGAGAAGUAGGAGUUAAUUGGUCUCAUGAUCCCCUACAGGCUGGCCUUCCAGAAAAAGGAGGUAACUUGCCCCAGGAUACCCUGGAAACCAAUCAGAAUGAAUUGCCUUAAACUCUGGCUUGUAGCCCAAAGCAAGGCUUGCCCACAAGUCUUGCCAGUAUGUGGUUGAACAGAAAUUAGAAUCCAGACAGCCUGAGUCCUUUUCUUGCCAGGCAGGGGCUGGGGCUUCCCCAACCAUGAAAGUUCAGGUGGUAGAUCCUGCCACUGCUUUGCACACCAGCUCCCUGGUGCUAACCUCAACUGCCAGUGCUGAGCUGGAAGGAUAGGGCUGGAGGCAAACUCCUACCCCAUCAUGUUGCUGGUGUAUUCCAUCCUGGUAUUGGUCACACCAAGGAAGGGCCUGGACUUUCCUAAUCAUGCAGCUUAAAAGCAACACAAGGCAAGGCGGGGAGUCCGCUCUCCUGAAGUCUGACAUCCAGGAAGACCAGAUUGCUAUGUGCUGUCUUUGACUUACUUGGAGACUCACACACCUACACUAGUGCCCCCUUAUCUGAGGGGGAUGCAUUCCAAGACCCCCAGUGGAUGCUUGAAACCAUAAAUAAUACCAAACCCUACAUAUACUAUGUUUUUUCAUAUAUAUACCUAUGAUAAAAUUUAAUUUAUAUAAUAGAUUAGGCAGAGACUAAUAACAAUAACUAAUAAUAAAAUAGAAGAAUUAUAACAACAUACUAUAAUAAAAGUUAACGUGAACAUUGUUUGUCUCAAAAUAUCUUAUUGUAUGUAAUAUUUUUGGACUGUGGUUGUUCAUAGCAAGUGAAAACUCAGAUGGGGGAGGGUGGCAUACUGUAUUUAUUUUCCUGUAUCCAUUAGUGUUUCCCAGUGAACACUGCACCAGGAGGUUGGCCAUUUGUCUUUAUUUAUACAUCAAACUAAGGCAUGGAGAAUAAGAGCUUGGUAAGGUCAUAUAGCCAGGAGGUGGUUGAACUGAGAUUCAAACUGAGACAGUCUGAGUCCAAAUUCUACCACCUCUUGUGUGUGACAUUUAAUGGAUAGGUGGGCUUUUGUAACCAGUGUCUCUGCCUUUCUCCAUGAUUCACAGCACAGAAACUUGUGCAUACAUUCUCACUUGAUAUCUGAAUGACUGUAACAGUGAUGUAAAUUAACAAGGAAGGGAGAUAGCCCUGAUUUAAUUGGAAAUCACUGACAGAGCUCGCCCAGUAAACUCUCUACAAACAGAAUACAAAUGUUUUGUAUUUAAUUGCUAAAGUGUUUUAAAAUUGAACUCAAAUUAAUAAAUACUUAUUGUAUCUGUCAGUUAAACGAAACAACCAAUAAACAACCAACUCUGUUUUCUAAUCAAGAGGGACUGAUCCUUUAAAAAAAAUAGGGUUUAAAAAAGAUGAUAUGAUCAAUGUAAAAUUGGAUUAUAGACUUUUAGAGUCUUAAAAGAUGAGAAAAGAGAUAAAGAUGAAUAGAUAUGGAGUAACUAGGAUAAGACUCUCUCACAAACUGGACCUUAAACAGAUUUAGGAAGAAAUAUAGGAUUAGGAUAGAGAAAAAGAAGAGAAAGAAUUGCCUAUAGGCAUAAUAAAAAGCACAAGUGUAUCAAUCAACACAGGGUAUUGUGGACCAGUGAGGAAGGAUCAUGAUCUAGACUAGGGGAUUCAUGUUGGAAACAGUGAGACAAGUUAGAAAGGAUAGGAUGGGACAUAUUAUAUGGUUCCAAACAUAAUAAAUGAGCACUUGAGCUAGAAAGUAGUAUAAUGUUCACAGGUGGUAAAGAGGUAUAAUGAAAAAACUAUACUUCACAAAAAUUAGUGGUGUUCAGUGGGUUGGAGAGAAGACCAAUUAGAAGGUUAUCUGUGGAAUUACAACAACCCAGUGAAUUGAGCUGAUGGAGAGAGAUGCUCCUCCCACUACCAACACUCAAACAUAAGGCAAAAAUAUUUAUAGGUGAUGAGUAAUGAUGAAAAAACAAAAGAACAAAUGAUAGAUGACAUGAAGAAUGGGAGUAGGGAAGACCAUAUUUAAGACUCUGAGGUCAUUAAAUGAUGUAACAUGUUUACUAGCCCAAAAAUAUAUACUAAAAGAGUAGAAAGAAAACAAAAAAUUUCCAAAUCAGUAGCAAGGAUCAAGAAAACAAUCCAAAUGGAAGGAAAGAACAAUGUCCCUUGGAACAUAACAAUAGAACAUAAUAUGAACAGUACCUCCUUCUAUGUAGUGUAGAUAUUAAACAUAGGGUGGGAAGUACACAUAUCAAUUUCAAAAUAGUGGUUUAAUCUGAAAUUGUUAAACAGAGAGGGAGGGAAGCAAUAGAACUGAGAGAGCGUUCAAAAGCCUUUUGUUGUAUCUGUAGAGUCUUUUAUUUCUUAAAAAUACAAUCGUAUACCACAUGAUAACAUUUUGGCCAAUGGACUACACAUAUGACAUGGUCCCAUAAGAUUAUAGUACUGUCUUUUUACUGUACCUUUUCUAUGUUUAGAUAUAUUUACAUAUACAAAUACCACUGUUAAAUUGCCUACAGUAUUCAGCACAGUAACAUGCUGUGCAGGAUUGUAGCCUAGGAGCAAUGGGCUACACCAUGUGGCCUAGGUGUGUCGUAGGCUCUACUAUUUUGGUUUGUAUAAGUACACUCUAUGAUGUUCACACAAUGAUGAAAUCACCUAACGAUGCAUUUCUCAGAAUAAGUUUCUGUUGUUAAGCAACCCAUGAUUGUAUCUGAAGCAAAUAUCUAUA
This 4812-nucleotide long non-coding RNA is filed under the name Homo sapiens (human). RNAcentral's name for it is "non-protein coding LINC01033:15". The record is from RNAcentral. Lineage: Eukaryota; Metazoa; Chordata; Mammalia; Primates; Hominidae.